UGGGGAAUUUUGGACAAUGGGGGAAACCCUGAUCCAGCCAUCCCGCGUGUGCGAUGAAGGCCUUCGGGUUGUAAAGCACUUUUGGCAGGAAAGAAACGUCAUGGGUUAAUACCCCGUGAAACUGACGGUACCUGCAGAAUAAGCACCGGCUAACUACGUGCCAGCAGCCGCGGUAAUACGUAGGGUGCAAGCGUUAAUCGGAAUUACUGGGCGUAAAGCGUGCGCAGGCGGUUCGGAAAGAAAGAUGUGAAAUCCCAGAGCUCAACUUUGGAACUGCAUUUUUAACUACCGGGCUAGAGUGUGUCAGAGGUAGGUGGAAUUCCGCGUGUAGCAGUGAAAUGCGUAGAUAUGCGGAGGAACACCGAUGGCGAAGGCGGCCUCCUGGGAUAACACUGACGCUCAUGCACGAAAGCGUGGGGAGCAAACAGG
Molecule: ribosomal RNA, 429 nt
Filed under: Acidobacteriota bacterium
Lineage: Bacteria; Pseudomonadati; Acidobacteriota
Description: Acidobacteria bacterium partial 16S ribosomal RNA
Rfam family: Bacterial small subunit ribosomal RNA
Source: RNAcentral